UCCCUGGUUGUCCAGUGGCUAAGACUCCAUGCUCCCAAUGUGGGGAGCCCAGGUUCAAUCCCUGUUUGGGGAA
Molecule: non-coding RNA, 73 nt
Organism: Bos taurus (domestic cattle)
Lineage: Eukaryota; Metazoa; Chordata; Mammalia; Artiodactyla; Bovidae
Source: Rfam